UGGGGAAUUGUUCGCAAUGGGCGCAAGCCUGACGACGCAACGCCGCGUGGAGGACGAAGAUCUUCGGGUCGUAAACUCCUGUCGAGCGGGACGAAUGCUCCGUGAGCCAAUACCUCACGGGGGUGACGGUACCGCUAAAGGAAGCCCCGGCUAACUCCGUGCCAGCAGCCGCGGUAAUACGGGGGGGCAAGCGUUGUUCGGAAUUACUGGGUGUAAAGGGCUCGUAGGCGGCCAACUAAGUCGGAUGUGAAAUCCCCAGGCUUAACCUGGGAACUGCAUCCGAUACUGGAUGGCUUGAAUUCGGGAGAGGGAUGCAGAAUUCCAGGUGUAGCGGUGAAAUGCGUAGAUAUCUGGAGGAAUACCGGUGGCGAAGGCGGCAUCCUGGACCGACAUUGACGCUGAGGAGCGAAAAGCCAGGGGAGCAAAACGGGAUUAGAUACCCCGGUAGUCCUGGCCCUAAAGAUGAAUGCUUGGUGUGACGGGUAUCGAU
RNAcentral lists this ribosomal RNA (490 nucleotides) under uncultured Acidobacteriota bacterium. RNAcentral describes it as "bacterial SSU rRNA". It matches the Rfam family "Bacterial small subunit ribosomal RNA", at positions 355 to 836 of the family's 1533-position model. Lineage: Bacteria; Pseudomonadati; Acidobacteriota. The record is from RNAcentral.